UCCUGGCUCAGGAUGAACGACGUAGCCUACAGGCUUAACACAUGCAAGUCGAGGGGCAGCAUUGGGAUAGCUUGCUAUUCAGAUGGCGACCGGCGCACGGGUGAGUAACGCGUAUCCAACCUUCCUGCCAGUAGGGAACAGCCCGGCGAAAGUCGGAUUAAUGCCCUAUGUUCUUCAAUGCGGACAUCUAAGUUGAAGGAAAGAUUCAUCGCUGGCAGAUGGGGAUGCGUCCGAUUAGCUUGCCGGCGGGUAACGGCCCACCGGGGCGACGAUCGGUAGGGGUUCUGAGAGGAAGGUCCCCCACACUGGUACUGAGACACGGACCAGACUCCUACGGGAGGCAGCAGUGAGGAAUAUUGGUCAAUGGGCGUAAGCCUGAACCAGCCAAGUAGCGUGCAGGAAUGACGGCCCUACGGGUUGUAAACUGCUUUUAUGCGGGGAUAAAGUGCGGCACGUGUGCCGCUUUGCAGGUACCGCAUGAAUAAGGACCGGCUAAUUCCGUGCCAGCCGCAGC
RNAcentral lists this ribosomal RNA (514 nucleotides) under uncultured bacterium. RNAcentral describes it as "bacterial SSU rRNA". It matches the Rfam family "Bacterial small subunit ribosomal RNA", at positions 17 to 518 of the family's 1533-position model. The record is from RNAcentral.